AUACAGAGGGGGCAAGCGUUGUUCGGAAUUACUGGGCGUAAAGGGCGCGUAGGCGGCCAAGUCAGUCAGGCGUGAAAGCCCAGGGCUCAACCCUGGAAUUGCGUUUGAUACUGCUGGUCUAGAGUCCGGGAGAGGGUAGUGGAAUUCCCAGUGUAGAGGUGAAAUUCGUAGAUAUUGGGAAGAACACCGGUGGCGAAGGCGGCUACCUGGACCGGUACUGACGCUAAGGUGCGAAAGCGUGGGGAGCAAACAGGAUUAGAUACCCCGGUAGUCC
This 274-nucleotide ribosomal RNA is filed under the name uncultured bacterium. RNAcentral describes it as "partial 16S ribosomal RNA". It matches the Rfam family "Bacterial small subunit ribosomal RNA", at positions 523 to 796 of the family's 1533-position model. The record is from RNAcentral.